Panicum virgatum (switchgrass) is the source of this 2922-nucleotide long non-coding RNA. RefSeq lists it as uncharacterized. Lineage: Eukaryota; Viridiplantae; Streptophyta; Magnoliopsida; Poales; Poaceae. The transcript has 4 exons. The record is from RefSeq and is a predicted model, not a curated record.
UUCUUCGUUCCUAGUUUAUAUGGCUUUAUGUGUGUGAUGGAGUGCUUAUGGUAAAUACUCUUGAUGUACGAGUGCUUUUGUUCUGGGAUUAUGAACUCCUAUAUAAGAUUUAGGUUACAUGUGAGAUGUCUUGUUAUUUAGGUGUGGGAUAUGCUGAACUGUUGUACACUUUAAUACUUGUGAUACUGUGAACUGUGGUUUAGGUGUCGGACUAGAAAAUAGGCGCGGCUUUGCCGCGCUCCCAUUAGAGUGACCAGGCCAUUUAGAUUUUACGCUUUGUAAAUGGGCAUGAAAAUUAAUAAGGAAUUAAUAACGUGCAGAACUUAGUAAAGCAGCAUAUAUAUGCGCAUGAAAAUUGCUUACUGAUUGUAUCCAAUAGCUCAGAUCAAUAAAUAAAUGACAUAUUUAUUUUACUGCAUACUGAAUAUAGCUGAAAAUGACAUGGUAGUAUAUUGUGGAUAUCUGUGCCUGAAGAGAUUGAGUGGUGAAGUCAAGCCAACUACACAACUACCUGAUCAUAACAUAGAACCCACACGUUCUGAGAGAUCCACAACACAUUACUCGUGACUUUAUAUUACAGCAAACAGCACAUGACUUUGUAUUACAUCAGCACCUACAUACGCAUGACUUAUAUUACAUCACUACCAAAAUGCUCAUGAUUCUAUAUUACAUCAGCAGCUACAUAUGGGUCGUCAUGUGCAUGAUUUUGUCCCAAGGAUGCGACCACAUCCUCAUAUAGUUGUCGGUCACAACUAAGUGUUUUAGGUAGCAUGCCUAGUGCCUCCAGCUUGUCUUUGUCCAUGUGAGGAAUUUUGUAUCUGUUUCCUCCUCCAUCUUUCAUUAUCUCAAUCAUACACCCUUAAAGUGUGAGGAACACUCUAUUCAAAGUAUCUGCAUCAUAGUUAUCAAACUCUUUUUUGACAUUCAGAAUUAGGUCAUCUAAGUUCCUAGAGAUCUUUUCAUAGGCUUUGGAUUGUAGAGAAGCAAAGAAUCCCAAGUCGAGUACAUUCAAAUCUGGUGAAUUUGCAGGUUGGUUGAUGAGUCGUAUGUCCAGACCUGUUUGUGCCACAGCCGUAGCAAAUUCUUCAUCAUCUACUGGCACACGUGAAGGGGCAUUGUCUUGCUGAAUCCAUAUAGUUUGUCCUCUCAGUUCUUGUGGCCACCGUUGAACAAUAGCUUUUAGAACUUUACCAAUCAAGUAUGACCUCAUAGUUUUUCAAUCUACAUUAAUAGGCUUAGUGACUUCGGUCCCUCUUCCCCUAUUACGGCUUCUUCUCUUUGCUUGUUCCUGGAGUCAAUGAAGACUUUUAAGGAUCAAAAGUGUUAUCACAAAGUGAUGUAACAAAGUGAAAUAAGUUGGUGUCGUAUCUUUCUAACAAAUGCCCACACUCCUAUCUUCCCAUCAAAGAUGCAAUUACCUUCAUCAUCGUAUAUAGGUCUUUCUAGUGCCGUCAAGAACAUAACUUUGCCAAUACGAUUCUUGUUUUGCACUGUCCUAUGUGGGUUGUCCUCUCCUGGGAGCAUAUAAUACUUCCUGUACUUUGAAGUGUUGUUGUACCACUUCUCGUCCAUGUGGAUGAUGUUUUCCAUUGACCUAAACUUGGGUUCAUGUGGUAGUGUCCGGGGAUCUAACAUGGAAAGACACCAUUUGAGUCUGUCUCUUUUGUUUUCCUCUGUCAAUAGAGGCUUCAGUGUGCUAGAAUGACGUUGUAGCAGCCCUUUCUUGAACCACCUAUGCAGAGUGCUCCUUUUGACACCGAUGGCUUUUGCUAGAGAUUGAAUAGUGCUUCUGUUGUGCAAUGGAACACUAAGAACCUCAGAUAGGUCCAUUUGCACCUUUUUGCAGCCACUUCUCUUAGGCUUCCUUGAUCUAACAUCAACUGGAAUUCCUUGGGCACGACAUUCUUUUGCUCGCUGCCAAAUACGUUGCACUUUAUACCUGCUCACCUGGAACAUUUGUGCUACUAUAGUUGUAGUGUUCCUUUUUAGUCUUCCACGAGCACUUCUCUCAAGCAAUGCUGCAUAGAUUUGCUGUCGUUGAGUUUCUAUCAAUUUUUUUUGGACUGAUCUCCAUUGUUUUCAUUUGCAUGGUGGUCCUCUUCAUCAAAUAUUAUGUCCACAGUGUCAGCGUCAACAGCAUAGUUAUGCAUGUCCUCCAUCAUGCCUGCUAUGUACACAAGAAUUAAAUGAUCAUUAGGUGGAAAGUUUAAAUCAAAUAGAUGUGGACCAUCAAAGUGGAGACAUGCAGCCUGUUGAUGCUCCUCCUCUACUCCAAUUGCUGCAAUGAGAUGCAAUCAAGAGAAAAGAAUCACCAUUAUGAUGUUCUUGUUCUCCCUCAGAAGUAGCAACAUUGAUAUCAAUGACAUGCAUGCCAAGUAGUUCAUUGUGAUGAAGAUGAAGGGGCUGACCUUGGAGAUGGGCUUCAUCUUCAUAAAGGUGAUCUUCCUGGAGAUGAGCGAUUUCAUCUUCAUGCUCGUACAUUGGAUUUUUAUUGAGAUCAGGCUGUUCAUUGAGAUCAGGUAGGAGCUCUCCAUGAAGAUCAGGAAGAGUGUUUAAAUCUAUGGACAUGGCUGAUGAUGGAAAUGGCUUCCAGGUUGAUGAGUGGAUGCUCUCGUGUCCUGCAGUUAUAUGAUGGAAGGAGGGCUGUGGCACAGGCGGGAAAUGCCCAGGCGCGCUGGUUGAAAUUUCGAAUUUUGAGUGAUUGAUUCUAAGCCACAAAUAUAGUGACAGCUGUACCUCUAGAUUGCUCUCCCAAAACUUGGCAACGUUUUCUGUAAUGACACCUGUACCUCUAGAUUGUUCUCCCAGAACUUAUCAACGUUACACGUGUAUUACCUCACUGGUCGCAUUUGCUGCUGUUUGGAUGAAGACAAACAUAUCAAAUCACUUUAUAGAGGUAUUUUGGUAAUUUCUCAAUGUGCA